Molecule: ribosomal RNA, 536 nt
Filed under: uncultured fungus
Lineage: Eukaryota; Fungi
Description: eukaryotic LSU rRNA
Rfam family: 5.8S ribosomal RNA (bases 171-325)
Source: RNAcentral
UCCGUAGGUGAACCUGCGGAAGGAUCAUUAUCGUGGGGCUCCGGCCCCGUCGAGAUAACACCCUUGCCUUUACAGUACCGCCCGUUUCCUCGGCAGGCUCGCCUGCCAAUGGGGACAACAAAACACCCUGAUAUCACCUGUAACCGUCUGAUAAAACAAACAAAAAUCAAAACUUUCAACAACGGAUCUCUUGGUUCUGGCAUCGAUGAAGAACGCAGCGAAAUGCGAUAAGUAGUGUGAAUUGCAGAAUUUCAGUGAAUCAUCGAAUCUUUGAACGCACAUUGCGCCCCCUGGCAUUCCGGGGGGCAUACCUGUUCGAGCGUCAUCGCACCCCUCAAGCGCUGCUUGGUGUUGGGCGUCUUGUCCCCCCGUUGCGGGGGACUCGCCCCAAAGACAUCGGCGGCUUGCACGGCGUCCGUGGCCCACAGCACAACGUGGUUGCCCGCAGACGCGCCCGCAAGCGUGCCGCAACCGACGCCCCUUUUCGUGGCUCCUGGAUGGACCUCGGAUCAGGUAGGAAUACCCGCUGAACUUAA